AGGGUUGUGGCUCAGUGGUAGAGCACUUUCCUAGCAUGUGAGGGACACUGGGUUCAAUUCUCAGCACCACAU
RNAcentral lists this transfer RNA (72 nucleotides) under Ictidomys tridecemlineatus (thirteen-lined ground squirrel). Its description in RNAcentral is "Spermophilus tridecemlineatus (thirteen-lined ground squirrel) tRNA". It matches the Rfam family "tRNA". From Rfam's summary of the family: Transfer RNA (tRNA) molecules are approximately 80 nucleotides in length. Their secondary structure includes four short double-helical elements and three loops (D, anti-codon, and T loops). Lineage: Eukaryota; Metazoa; Chordata; Mammalia; Rodentia; Sciuridae. The record is from Rfam by way of RNAcentral.